RNAcentral lists this unclassified non-coding RNA (2156 nucleotides) under Priapulus caudatus. RNAcentral's name for it is "uncharacterized LOC106811852, transcript variant X1". The record is from RNAcentral. Lineage: Eukaryota; Metazoa; Priapulida; Priapulimorpha; Priapulimorphida; Priapulidae.
CGUUCCGGUAUACCGGACCAUACGCAAGGUACGUUUCGGCAGUACCCUGGGGGACAUAGACCCUCUCAGCCGUAGCAACACCAUGCUAGAGAGUCGCCCCUGGAGUCACCAUAGAUCAUAGCUACUCGAGAGAGAGAGAGAGAGAGAUAGAGAUAGAGAGUACUUAAGCUACUGUUAAAUGUUUUUCAUGGAUCAAUUAUUAAUCAAAUCAAGAGUAGAUAAUAGGAGAGAUCUCUAUUAUGUACUCUCUAUCAAAUGUACCACAUGGGUGAUUGGACUAGGAGAUUAUGUGACAGUUAAUUAUAUACACUGAAUUGAUGUAAGAAAAUAAAUUGCUUUUACACAAGUCUUCCGCUGUACUAAAAUAAAAUUGUUCUUUUUUUUUCAAACAGGUGAUAAUGCCAAAGUUGUCGAAACCUCUCAAGCAUACUGUUCGCGUCUAUACUGCUGGCAGCAGAAGAGGAAGACUUGUCAACCUUAAGGCAACACCAUGUAUUGGUCAGCAAUUUGUAAAGCCAUCGCAAGCCUUACCUCACUCCUGUUCUACAGAUGUGGGAAGUGAUGCCGAUGAAGGAGUUGCAUCCAGUAAUUAUUGUGAAGAGCAACCAGUACUGAACAAGUAUAUGGAAAGUAGGCGCAGGAGAGACCAAUCAUGGAAAGAAAUUAGAGACGACCUUAAACUAACGCACUUGGAGGGUCAAGCGCCAGCAACACUCAUUUGCUGCAUGUGCCAGACAGAGGAAGUCAACAUUAUUUACUGUCCUGACUGUAGCUACAGUAGCUAUUACUGCAUGAAAUGUGUGUUGGUAGCCCACGGACAGCAUACAUUGCAUACACCCUCCAUAUGGAAGGAAGGACUGAUGGUGCGAUAUGAAUUCCCUACCAUUCAACAGUGGGAGCGAGAGGAUGGUCAUGCGUGCGAAACAAGAUUGUGGCGCAUCAUAGCAGUACUAGAUGAAAAUGGUGUGCAGCAUCAAGUGCAAGUUUCUGUUUGCUCAUGCGAGCCUGUAGCAGUUACUUUGAUAAGGUACCACCUGUGGCCUGCAACCCCAAAGAAUCCCCAAGUGGCAUUCACAUUUAAUCUUAUGGAAAACCUGAGGUUACUUGUGUUGGAAUGUCAGGUUUCAGUCCGAUCAUUCUGCAUGGCCAUGAAAAUUAGGAAUAAAGCUCAUCCUUUGGCACUGAGUGAUGUUGAUGAUGCAUAUAAAACGUUGCAAGGAGGAUGUUUCGAGGAGUACAGGGUGUUUUGGAAAAGCCUUAAUUACCCGUCUGGCGAUGGUUAUGAUAAUGGUACAACCUGUAGCUUAUGCCCAAAGGAUUCUGGAACAGCAAUAUUUUCCAUGGAUGGAAAUUUCGGACUUGUUAGAAGAAAGAAAGCUGGGGAAGACCUGGAAGCUGAGAAAGACCUAUCUGAUUGCGGGAAAUCGACAAGGUUUUUCGUUGAUCAAACACAAGUUGAUCAAUAUGUAAAUAAUGCUCAAAAAGAUACCACAAGCAAACACGGGAUAUGCAGUGAUUUCCAAGCCGGAAAUCCUCUAAGAAGUCGCUCAAGGUUUGAAAAACUUGAUGUAACUGGAGUCUUUGGAUCUGUGUGUCGCCAUGAUUAUCCAAAGGCGUUCUUCAACCUUAGACACGGAGAAAGACUAGCCUACCCUGAAUUUUUGGCGAAACAUCUAUGCAUGGAGGCAGGACCACAGAAAGUUAUUCUCUUAUAUGACAUAGCAUGUGUUUUGGAGAACCACAUUGAGUUGUCUACAUUACCGAACGAGAAUGUCACAUUUGCUGUGCCGAUAUUCCACAUGUAUGGACACAACGUAGCUUGUCAGGUUCAGUACAACCCAAGGAGGAUUGAGGGCAUGGGCCUUACUGACGGCGAAGGUGUGGAAAGGCUUUGGUCUUUCCUUAGGCGCUUCAGUAACAUCACGAAAGAAAUGACCCCUAGUCACCGAAACCUCCUUUUAGAUGAUGCACUACUCCAUUUCGGAGAGAAGCUACGAUCACAGCAAGAUUUUUUGAAGAGGCUGCUAAAGAAAGCUAAAGAAUCUAUACCUACUUGUGAGGAAGAACUCAGAAAGUGAAACCGUCAAAUGAGGACAAUGCGUUGGAAGGAGGAAGAGCGUCGUACAGUGGGAAAACCUACAGAAGAUGGGCAAGCA